RNAcentral lists this ribosomal RNA (1449 nucleotides) under metagenome. RNAcentral describes it as "bacterial SSU rRNA". It matches the Rfam family "Bacterial small subunit ribosomal RNA". The record is from RNAcentral.
AGAGUUUGAUCAUGGCUCAGAGCGAACGCUGGCGGCAGGCUUAACACAUGCAAGUCGAGCGGGCAUAGCAAUAUGUCAGCGGCAGACGGGUGAGUAACGCGUGGGAACAUACCUUUUGGUUCGGAACAACACAGGGAAACUUGUGCUAAUACCGGAUAAGCCCUUACGGGGAAAGAUUUAUCGCCGAAAGAUUGGCCCGCGUCUGAUUAGCUAGUUGGUGAGGUAACGGCUCACCAAGGCGACGAUCAGUAGCUGGUCUGAGAGGAUGAUCAGCCACAUUGGGACUGAGACACGGCCCAAACUCCUACGGGAGGCAGCAGUGGGGAAUAUUGGACAAUGGGCGCAAGCCUGAUCCAGCCAUGCCGCGUGAGUGAUGAAGGCCCUAGGGUUGUAAAGCUCUUUUGUGCGGGAAGAUAAUGACGGUACCGCAAGAAUAAGCCCCGGCUAACUUCGUGCCAGCAGCCGCGGUAAUACGAAGGGGGCUAGCGUUGCUCGGAAUCACUGGGCGCAAAGGGUGCGUAGGCGGGUCUUUAAGUCAGGGGUGAAAUCCUGGAGCUCAACUCCAGAACUGCCUUUGAUACUGAGGAUCUUGAGUUCGGGAGAGGUGAGUGGAACUGCGAGUGUAGAGGUGAAAUUCGUAGAUAUUCGCAAGAACACCAGUGGCGAAGGCGGCUCACUGGCCCGAUACUGACGCUGAGGCACGAAAGCGUGGGGAGCAAACAGGAUUAGAUACCCUGGUAGUCCACGCCGUAAACGAUGAAUGCCAGCCGUUAGUGGGUUUACUCACUAGUGGCGCAGCUAACGCUUUAAGCAUUCCGCCUGGGGAGUACGGUCGCAAGAUUAAAACUCAAAGGAAUUGACGGGGGCCCGCACAAGCGGUGGAGCAUGUGGUUUAAUUCGACGCAACGCGCAGAACCUUACCAGCCCUUGACAUCCCGGUCGCGGAUUCCAGAGACGGAGUCCUUCAGUUCGGCUGGACCGGAGACAGGUGCUGCACGGCUGUCGUCAGCUCGUGUCGUGAGAUGUUGGGUUAAGUCCCGCAACGAGCGCAACCCCCGUCCUUAGUUGCUACCACUUAGUUGAGCACUCUAAGGAGACUGCCGGUGAUAAGCCGCGAGGAAGGUGGGGAUGACGUCAAGUCCUCAUGGCCCUUACGGGCUGGGCUACACACGUGCUACAAUGGCAGUGACAGUGGGACGCUAAGGGGCAACCCUUCGCAAAUCUCAAAAAGCCGUCUCAGUUCGGAUUGGGCUCUGCAACUCGAGCCCAUGAAGUUGGAAUCGCUAGUAAUCGUGGAUCAGCAUGCCACGGUGAAUACGUUCCCGGGCCUUGUACACACCGCCCGUCACACCAUGGGAGUUGGUUUUACCUGAAGACGGUGCGCUAACCCGCAAGGGAGGCAGCCGGCCACGGUAGGGUCAGCGACUGGGGUGAAGUCGUAACAAGGUA